GACGCUAAAGCAUUUUCCCCCUGCAGAGCAUGUUGCAACAUUUAUCAGUCACACUGAGAAUCCAGAAGAUGAAGGAAAAGGUCACGUCGUUCGCUGAGAACUUACCGAAGUUGAACUCCCUCACUUUCCGCUUCCCAGCAUUGGCGGGUUCCGGGACUGGUGGCUGCGGUAGCUCAUUGGCCUUUGGUCUCUUAGACGGUGGAGAAUAAUCAUCAUCUUGAAAAAGAAAAUGGUCAUUACUGGAAGAACCAUCUUACAGUUACAGUCACCUCCUGGUCAAUUCCCAACAUUCAAAAGCUAAAGAAACAGGCUCAGAGGAUGUUAUUUGAUUGGACUAUGUUGUAUCUCUGGAGAGCACAGCUGAGAUCAGACUGUGUGUGUGUAACUCCACUAGACUACGAGGGUGCUUCUCAUAAAGGGUUGCAAGAUCAUAGUUCUCGGGGUGUUUAAAGGCAACACCUUCCGGAAGCCCCUGCACUACCACAGCCGACUGGUCUCGCAGCAUCUUCUCAUAUGGUACAGGUACCACUGUGGAUUUGCCUAAAGCUUUCCCUGGGGCAGAUGAAAAGCGGAUGAACAUCAUUCAAUGUGCAGGCCUACCCAACUAUGGAAUGAUGGAACAGAAGGCCUCACCAUGGACUCGAGAGCUGACAUGAGGAAUGUCACCACCAUCCUGCUCUCCGAGGACUCCUCAUCUUCAACGGGGAGGGUGGACAUUGCAACUUGGGCCAUGAUCCCUGUGCAGGAGAAGUAAGAAGAAAUAGGCCAAAGUGGUAAAAAGCAAAUGAGUACUGCCAGAAACAGGCAUGGAAUACCAAAACAAGAAUUUUACAGAGGAGAAAACAAACAGGAAGACAGCAGGGAGAGUUCCAGAACAAAAGGACAACAGUAAAGGACGACAGGGCAAGAAUGGAGAAUGAAGAAUUAUCAAGACAAUACCUUCACCUCUUCCGAUGACGUACCCACACAAUUUUUACAGGAUACACACAUCCUUGGCUGGGUGCGGUGGCCCAGCACUUUCGGAGGCCAAGGCGGGCAGAUCACCUGAGGUCAGGAGUUUGAGACCAACCUGGCCAACACGGUGAAACCCCGUCUCUACUAAAAAUACAAAAUUAGCCGGGCAUGGUGGCGGGUGCCUAUAGUCCCAGCUACUUAGGAGACUGAGGCAGGAGAAUCGCUUGAACCCAGGAGGCGAAGGUUGCAGUGAGCCAAGAUCACGCCACUGCACUCCAGCCUGGGUGACAAAAGCGAGACUCUGUCUCAAAAAUAAAUAAUAAUAAAAUAAAAUGCAAUAAAAAAACACACAUCUUCUAAGACACUAAGGCGUUUUGCUCCCCCAGGUAGGUAGCCCCAAUACACUUUAGUUAACCGAGUAUGAGUCUUCAUAGAGCUAUGCUGCCAGCUUAAGCCUACUGAUUCCCAAGUAUCUCAACUCUACAAUUAGAAUAAGCAACUGAUUAGGUGUAUUUUCUACUUUCUUUCAGUUAUUAACAAUGAAUAACCUUCACUCAAUAAACGAACCAGGCGCAGUGGCUCACGCCUGUAAUCUCAGCACUUGGGGAGGCCGAGGUGGGUGGAUCACUUGAGGUCAGGAGUUGGAGACCACCAGCCUGGCUAACAUGGUGAAACCCCAUCUCUAUGAAAAAUACAAAAAAAUUAGCUGGGCAUGGUGGCACAUGCCUGUAAUCCCAGCUACUCGUGAGGCUAAGGCACAAGAAUCGCUUGAGCCCGGGAAUCGGAGGUUGCAGAGAGCUGAGAUGGCACCACUGCACUCCAGCCUGGGCCACAGAGCGAGACUCCAUCUCAAAAAAAUAAAUAAAUACUUUCCCUUAGACUGACAUAAAAAUGAUUUGAC
Molecule: long non-coding RNA, 1855 nt
Filed under: Homo sapiens (human)
Lineage: Eukaryota; Metazoa; Chordata; Mammalia; Primates; Hominidae
Description: PREDICTED lncRNA (TCONS_00244546)
Source: RNAcentral